GAUGAACGCUGGCGGCGUGCCUAAUACAUGCAAGUCGAGCGAACGGACGAGAAGCUUGCUUCUCUGAUGUUAGCGGCGGACGGGUGAGUAACACGUGGAUAACCUACCUAUAAGACUGGGAUAACUUCGGGAAACCGGAGCUAAUACCGGAUAAUAUUUUGAACCGCAUGGUUCAAAAGUGAAAGACGGUCUUGCUGUCACUUAUAGAUGGAUCCGCGCUGCAUUAGCUAGUUGGUAAGGUAACGGCUUACCAAGGCGACGAUGCAUAGCCGACCUGAGAGGGUGAUCGGCCACACUGGAACUGAGACACGGUCCAGACUCCUACGGGAGGCAGCAGUAGGGAAUCUUCCGCAAUGGGCGAAAGCCUGACGGAGCAACGCCGCGUGAGUGAUGAAGGUCUUCGGAUCGUAAAACUCUGUUAUUAGGGAAGAACAUAUGUGUAAGUAACUGUGCACAUCUUGACGGCACCUAAUCAGAAAGCCACGGCUAACUACGUG
RNAcentral lists this ribosomal RNA (497 nucleotides) under uncultured bacterium. Its description in RNAcentral is "partial 16S ribosomal RNA". It matches the Rfam family "Bacterial small subunit ribosomal RNA", at positions 28 to 507 of the family's 1533-position model. The record is from RNAcentral.